This 690-nucleotide long non-coding RNA is filed under the name Bemisia tabaci. RNAcentral describes it as "lncRNA ENSASIAIIG008705". Lineage: Eukaryota; Metazoa; Arthropoda; Insecta; Hemiptera; Aleyrodidae. The record is from RNAcentral.
CCCUGGGAACGGGGAGCGCGCAUCUGAGCCGAGUCUGUCUAUAAGAGCCGCCAGCCGGCACCCGCUCGCCCAUUCACAUUCCACCGCCCGCCCGAUCUCACGUGUCCGCCGAGUCGCCCAACCGGGAGCCCCGAGCGUGCUUAUCACCCGAUCACUCGCUUAUCAAUCGCUUAUCAGCCGCUUAUCGCUUUUAGUAGCCUGUCCAUUCGGUUCGAUUCUCCGAGGCUUCGAGGCCGGGUUUACCAUGAAACUCCACCCCGCCACCGCUCGGUUCCGAGUCCUUUCUCUCGUUUCUUUCUUUUUGUUUUUCCUAUGUGGUGUCCAGUCUCGUGCUUUGAGCCAGGAACUCUCGGCCCUACAGAACCUACGGCUAAAAGGACAUUUCAAAUGGAGUAUCAAAACGACGGAGAUCAAUCUCAGAAAUCUUAUUCCACUCACAUCAUCCAGACUGAAGCGAUCUCAUGAACACAUCAUAAAAGACUGUAUGGAGGUGCAGAGUGAGGAGGGUCAAUAUUUUUUUAAAGCAUCACAACGAGACAGUAAUAUGGUUUGUGGCGUCUACCUCUUGACGGAUCCGGACAAGAACAUCGAAGUAAUUUUUGACUACCUCAACGUACCCUGCGAGACGAAUGGACUCGUAUCGGUAAGUUUUUCGGCUGUUAUUUUAAAAUGGUAUACGCAACUGUGCUG